AUACGAAGGGGGCAAGCGUUGUUCGGAAUAACUGGGCGUAAAGCGCACGUAGGCGGAAUGUUAAGUUAGAGGUGAAAUCCCAGGGCUCAACCCUGGAACGGCCUUUAAUACUGGCAAUCUAGAGACCGAGAGAGGUGAGUGGAAUUCCGAGUGUAGAGGUGAAAUUCGUAGAUAUUCGGAGGAACACCAGUGGCGAAGGCGGCUCACUGGCUCGGUACUGACGCUGAGGUGCGAAAGCGUGGGGAGCAAACAGGAUUAGAAACCCCUGUAGUCC
This 274-nucleotide ribosomal RNA is filed under the name uncultured bacterium. Its description in RNAcentral is "partial 16S ribosomal RNA". It matches the Rfam family "Bacterial small subunit ribosomal RNA", at positions 523 to 796 of the family's 1533-position model. The record is from RNAcentral.